GUCUAUGGCCAUGCCACCCUGAACAAGCCUGAAGUCUUAUCUCAGAAGUUAAGCAGGGUCGGGCCUGGUUAGUACUUGGAUGGGAGACUACCUAGGAAGAAGACUAGGUACUGUAGGCA
RNAcentral lists this ribosomal RNA (119 nucleotides) under Pteropus alecto (black flying fox). The record is from RNAcentral. Lineage: Eukaryota; Metazoa; Chordata; Mammalia; Chiroptera; Pteropodidae.